CCCCCCCCCCAGUGCAAUGUUUUGCUUCCGCCUGUCUCUAAGGGUAGUCUUCAGUGAUGACUCAAUUACAGAAGGACCCGGGAGGAACAAUAACAUUGGUUAUCUCUAGCCCAAGGCCUUCUCCCCAGCAGCCCCCUUUCCAGCCGCGUCUGCCUUCUAGAACACGAGGCCAGCCCACUCUCCAGCACAGGCCAGAUUUCAGCUGUGGAUACUGACUGAGUGUGUCCUCCGGCUGGCACUAUUCCAGGUGCUGAGGAAGCAGGCGUGAACAGGGAGCCUGCUCCCUGCAGCCGGGGGCCCUCACUCCGGGAGCGAGAAUUAUCUCCAAGAGGCCGAGCCCACGGGGCCUGUCCAGGCUGGGGGGAGCAGCCUGUCAGACUCCCUUCUGUGGUCCAGCCAUUGCUCAGAUGACAGGGCCACUGAAGACUAAAUAAUUGGCCAGCUGGUGCUUUGGAAACAGUUAAAUCUUUGCUGGCGGAUACAGGUGUGAUCUUGUUUCUUGGACACCUCCUAUUCAGCCCCGAAGAGUCCUUGCUCCCCGUUCCUGAUCCCGCGCGGACCAGAGUCGUCGCGUAGACGUCUCACUGCAGCCGGCGGCCUGGCCAAAGAUACGGCAGAAAUGCCUAGUAGUGAUGCCUCCUUGAGCUGUGAUCGAGGCAUCGCCCAGAAUUCCAGCCGGAACAUCUGCUCCCCUGCUCCCCUGCUUCUCCGCAGCCCCCCUUCAGAGGACACCCCAGCGACUCUGGCAGGAGCUACCCGAAAGGCCAGACCGUCCACAGUGCUGGAGGAGUGAGGAUCCAUGGGAUGUCCUCACUGGUCCUAACCCUCCUGACGUCCAAGAAGAUGAAAUUAAAAUGCGGCCACGUGGGCCGUGGUGCCAUCUUGCUUGUCAUUUAGCCUCGGUUCUGUGAAGCCCACAGCCCAGAGAGGUGAGGGCUCCUCCUUCAUCGGGCCACCCUUUUCCUCACCCAGUCCCUUCAGCCCACUGGUCUGAUUUACUAGAAAGAGAAUCCGUGGCGUGGAAGAAGAAAGGUAAUGGAUCAAACUACUGCCUGACUAGAUUUCACUGCCUCCAGUGGAAAAUGUUUGAGAUUUAGGAUAAACGUUUUUGCUUGCACUAGUAAA
Molecule: long non-coding RNA, 1125 nt
Organism: Felis catus (domestic cat)
Lineage: Eukaryota; Metazoa; Chordata; Mammalia; Carnivora; Felidae
Exons: 2
Source: RefSeq, a predicted model, not a curated record